This 253-nucleotide ribosomal RNA is filed under the name uncultured bacterium. Its description in RNAcentral is "partial 16S ribosomal RNA". It matches the Rfam family "Bacterial small subunit ribosomal RNA", at positions 524 to 776 of the family's 1533-position model. The record is from RNAcentral.
UACAGAGGGGGCAAGCGUUGUUCGGAAUUACUGGGCGUAAAGGGCGCGUAGGCGGCCCGCUAAGUCGAACGUGAAAUCCCCGAGCUCAACUCGGGAACUGCGUCCGAUACUGGUGGGCUUGAAUCCGGGAGAGGGAUGCGGAAUUCCAGGUGUAGCGGUGAAAUGCGUAGAGAUCCGGAGGAACCCCAGAGGCGAAGGCGGCGUCCUGGCCCAUUUCUGACGUUCAGACAUGACAGCAUGGGGAGCGAACGGG